Drosophila sulfurigaster albostrigata is the source of this 697-nucleotide long non-coding RNA. RefSeq lists it as uncharacterized. The transcript has 2 exons. The record is from RefSeq and is a predicted model, not a curated record. NCBI's taxonomy places the organism in Eukaryota, Metazoa, Arthropoda, Insecta, Diptera, Drosophilidae.
ACACACAAACACAAACGCUUGCGCAGCAAAUAGAUAAAGUUGUAGAUUAUGUGUAAGUUUGUUGUAUGUUUUCUGCACUAUUUUUUUUUUUUGGGGUUAUUUCUAGUUGUAGAAAUUGAACCGGUUGCGACGCGCUGCGAAAAAUGUGUUAAUUGUCGCGUUUUUACAACUAAAACUUAACAGCAACAAAAACAAAAACAACAACAACUGCGACGUCGUUCAAUUGAAGGUAGACGACAGCGACAGCGACGCUGACGUCGACGUCGACGUCGGUUCCAAAAGUCACUUGCGCUAAUUAGUUAAACUUUUUUUUUCUAUUGCUUGUUCUUGUUGUUGCUGUUGUUCUUGCGGUUGCAAAACACUCAUAAGCUGAACGUUGACGUCGGCUUCGCAUCGCAUCGCAUCGCAUCGCUUUACGUCGUGUCGUUUCGUUUCAUUUCGUUUUGUUGCAAAUUCUUAUUUCUCAUUCGCGCUUCUCAAAUUGCCAAGCAAAAAAAAAAAGUAAACGACGCGUCGCCUUGUCGUCGUGGGUCACAAUUCGCAUUUCAAUGCAUUCCAAUUACGACAAUGGAACAGUGUGAGGGCAAAUUGAUAUCGUCCGAUAAUACUCACACAUAUGCACACCAUCGCUAACACACACACACACACAUCUUUACGUGAAACUUUGCACUUUGUAGAUCGAGCUUUGUUUUUGCAA